CCUGCACAAAGAAACCGUGGAUGACAUUGUCGUCUACGUCAUGAACAAAUUUCCUGGAGAAUGCGAGGGGAAUAUCAGGAGGUACCUAAGACGAAAGUGCAACAAUGCGGCCUCCUCCCUCAAGAAGAAGCCUGCCUAUUUCUGAAUCGUAUCACUGAGAAAUAAAAAAAAUUGACAAUUGUAA
Ixodes scapularis (black-legged tick) is the source of this 184-nucleotide long non-coding RNA. RefSeq lists it as uncharacterized. The record is from RefSeq and is a predicted model, not a curated record. NCBI's taxonomy places the organism in Eukaryota, Metazoa, Arthropoda, Arachnida, Ixodida, Ixodidae. The transcript is spliced from 2 exons.